Molecule: ribosomal RNA, 253 nt
Filed under: uncultured bacterium
Lineage: Bacteria
Description: partial 16S ribosomal RNA
Rfam family: Bacterial small subunit ribosomal RNA
Source: RNAcentral
GACGUAGGGGGCCAGCGUUGUUCGGAAUUACUGGGUGUAAAGGGUUCGUAGGCGGUGCGGCAAGUUGGGAGUGAAAUCUCUGGGCUUAACCCAGAGGCUGCUUCCAAAACUGCUGUGCUUGAGUGUGGGAGAGGCGCGUGGAAUUGCAGGUGUAGCGGUGAAAUGCGUAGAUAUCUGCAGGAACACCCGUGGCGAAAGCGGCGCGCUGGACCACUACUGACGCUGAGGAACGAAAGCUAGGGGAGCAAACAGG